Molecule: ribosomal RNA, 424 nt
Filed under: uncultured archaeon
Lineage: Archaea
Description: partial 16S ribosomal RNA
Rfam family: Archaeal small subunit ribosomal RNA
Source: RNAcentral
CUACGGGCUGCAGCAGUUAGGAAACUUCUACAAUGCGCGCAAGCGUGAUAGAGCGAGCCAAAGUGCGUUUCUAUAAUUGAAACGCUUUUGCCAGAUCUAAAAAUUCUGGCGAAUAAGGACUGGGAGAGACUGGUGCCAGCCGCCGCGGUAAUACCAGCAGUCCAAGUCGCAUCCUCUUUUAUUGGGUCUAAAACAUCCGUAGCUCGCUAAGCAAGUUCUGUGUAAAAUCUGGCAUCUCAAGUUUCAGGCUGCACAGAAUACUAUUUAGCUAGAGACCGGGAGACGUAAAGAGUAUGGGUUCGGGUAGCGGUAAAAUGCGUUGAUCCUUACUAGACUAACAACAGCGAAGGCACUUUACGAGAACGGUUCUGACAGUGAGGGAUGAAGGCUAGGGUCGCAAAACGGAUUAGAUACCCCAGUAGUC